Molecule: ribosomal RNA, 301 nt
Filed under: uncultured bacterium
Lineage: Bacteria
Description: partial 16S ribosomal RNA
Rfam family: Bacterial small subunit ribosomal RNA
Source: RNAcentral
CAGUCGCCGCGGUAAAACGUAGGUGGCAAGCGUUGUCCGGAAUUAUUGGGCGUAAAGGGCUCGCAGGCGGUUUCUUAAGUCUGAUGUGAAAGCCCCCGGCUCAACCGGGGAGGGUCAUUGGAAACUGGGAAACUUGAGUGCAGAAGAGGAGAGUGGAAUUCCACGUGUAGCGGUGAAAUGCGUAGAGAUGUGGAGGAACACCAGUGGCGAAGGCGACUCUCUGGUCUGUAACUGACGCUGAGGAGCGAAAGCGUGGGGAGCGAACAGGAUUAGAUACCCGAGUAGUCCCUGUCUCUUAUAA